AUUGAACGCUGGCGGCAUGCCUUACACAUGCAAGUCGAACGGCAGCACGGGAGCAAUCCUGGUGGCGAGUGGCGAACGGGUGAGUAAUAUAUCGGAACGUGCCCAGUAGUGGGGGAUAACUGCUCGAAAGAGCAGCUAAUACCGCAUACGACCUGAGGGUGAAAGCGGGGGAUCGCAAGACCUCGCGCUAUUGGAGCGGCCGAUAUCAGAUUAGCUAGUUGGUGAGGUAAAGGCUCACCAAGGCGACGAUCUGUAGCUGGUCUGAGAGGACGGAGCGCCACACUGGGAGUGAGCCACGGCACAGACUCCUACGGGGGGCAGCGGUGGGGAAUUUUGGACAAUGGGCGCAAGCCUGAUCCAGCCAUGCCGCGUGCGGGAAGAAGGCGUUCGGGUUGUAAACCGCUUUUGUCAGGGAAGAAACGGCUCCUACUAAUACUGGGGGCUAAUGACGGUACCUGAAGAAUAAGCACCGGCUAACUACGUGCCAGCAGCCGCGGUAA
RNAcentral lists this ribosomal RNA (500 nucleotides) under uncultured bacterium. Its description in RNAcentral is "partial 16S ribosomal RNA". It matches the Rfam family "Bacterial small subunit ribosomal RNA", at positions 29 to 523 of the family's 1533-position model. The record is from RNAcentral.